This 1652-nucleotide ribosomal RNA is filed under the name human gut metagenome. RNAcentral's name for it is "bacterial LSU rRNA". It matches the Rfam family "Bacterial large subunit ribosomal RNA", at positions 831 to 2499 of the family's 2925-position model. The record is from RNAcentral.
AAUCGAACCCGGAGAUAGCUGGUUCUCCUCGAAAUAGCUUUAGGGCUAGCCUCGCAUUAGUUUACCGGAGGUAGAGCACUGAAUGGUCUAGGGGGCCUCACCGCCUACCGAAACCUAUCAAACUGCGAAUGCCGGAUAAAUGAUGUGCGGGAGUCAGGCCGCGAGAGAUAAGUUCCGCGGUCAAAAGGGGAACACCCCAGAUCGUCUGCUAAGGUCCCCAAGUACGCGUUAAGUGGGAAAGGAUGUUGGAUUGCACAGACAACCAGGAUGUUGGCUUAGAAGCAGCCACACAUUCAAAGAGUGCGUAAUAGCUCACUGGUCGAGUGAUCCAGCGCCGAAAAUGUAACGGGGCUAAAACGCGACACCGAAGCAGCGGGAUGCGUAAGCAUCGGUAGAGGAGCAUUGUGUGAGGAUAGAAGCCAGAGCGGGAGCACUGGUGGACUUCACAGAAGAGAGAAUGCCGGUAUGAGUAGCGAGACCCAUGCGAGAAACAUGGGCGUCGAAGGCCCAAGGUUUCCUGGGGAAGGUUCAUCCACCCAGGGUAAGUCGGGACCUAAGCCGAGGACUGAGGUCGUAGGCGAUGGACAGCAGGUAGAGAUUCCUGCACCACUUACACUUGUUUGACGAAGCAGUGACACAGAAGGAUAGGACGAGCGCGGUGAUGGUCAACCGCGUAGGCGGCACGAGGCUGGGGAGCAGUAAAGUACACUUCCCGGGAAGGCUGAGUGCUGACAGGACCGAAAAAGAGUAGGGAAGCGUCUGAGUUCACGCUGGCGAGAAAAGCUGCUAAGGAGAGUGUGAGUGCCCGUACCGGAAACCGACGCAGGUGGGCGAGGAGAGAAUCCUGAGACGGACGGGAGAACUCUUGUUAAGGAACUCGGCAAAAUGACCCCGUAACUUCGGGAGAAGGGGUGCCUCGAAAGAGGCCGCAGAGAAUAGUCACAAGCGACUGUUUAGCAAAAACACAGGUAUCUGCGAAAGCGAGAGCUGACGUAUAGGUGCUGACGCCUGCCCGGUGCUGGAAGGUUAAGGGGAAGUGUUAGGGGAAACCCGAAGCAGAGAACCGAAGCCCCAGUAAACGGCGGCCGUAACUAUAACGGUCCUAAGGUAGCGAAAUUCCUUGUCGGGUAAGUUCCGACCCGCACGAAUGGCGUAACGACUUGUGAGCUGUCUCAACAGGAGGCCCGGUGAAAUUGAAGUAUGUGUGAAGAUGCACAUUACCCGCGACUGGACGGAAAGACCCCGUAGAGCUUUACUGUAACCUGACAUUGGAUCUUGAUAACGGAUGCACAGGAUAGGUGGGACGCUGGGAGGUAUGGACUUUGGUCUGUACGGAGCGGACGUUGGGAUACCACUCUUCUGUUAUUGAGAUUCUAACCUCAAGCCGUAAGCCGGAUGAGAGACAGUGUCAGGCGGACAGUUUGACUGGGGCGGUCGCCUCCGAAAGAGUAACGGAGGCGCCCAAAGGUACCCUCAGAAUGGAUGGAAACCAUUCGAAGAGAGCAAAGUCAGAAGGGUGCUUGACUGCGAGACCAACAAGUCGAGCAGGUACGAAAGUAGGGCUUAGUGAUCCGGCGGUAAGAGAGUGGAAUUGCCGUCGCUCAACGGAUAAAAGCUACCUCGGGGAUAACAGGCUGAUCUCCCCCAAGAGU